RNAcentral lists this ribosomal RNA (356 nucleotides) under uncultured bacterium. Its description in RNAcentral is "bacterial SSU rRNA". It matches the Rfam family "Bacterial small subunit ribosomal RNA", at positions 1 to 334 of the family's 1533-position model. The record is from RNAcentral.
UCGCGUGUCUCAGAGUUUGAUCCUGGCUCAGGAUGAACGCUGGCGGCGUGCCUAACACAUGCAAGUCGAACGGAGCUUGAGGGAAGAAGACUUCGGUCAACGGCCAAAAAGCUUAGUGGCGGAUGGGUGAGUAACACGUGAGCAACCUGCCUUGUACAGUGGAAUAACAACGGGAAACCGUUGCUAAUACCGCAUAACAUACCGAAGAGGCAUCUUAUUGGUAUCAAAGGAGCAAUCCGGUACAAGAUGGGCUCGCGUCCGAUUAGAUAGUUGGAGAGGUAACGGCUCCCCAAGUCGACGAUCGGUAGCCGGACUGAGAGGUUGAACGGCCACAUUGGGACUGAGACACGGCCCAG